CCGGUACUUGCAUGGACCAAACCCUUGUGGAAAGUGUCCUUCCCAUUGAAGAUUAAGAAAUUUGUAUGGCAGCUUCUCCGUGAUCGCCACCCAUUGGAGACAGAGAUGGUCAAGCGACAUGGGGCUGGCGAUGGGCUUUGCCCUCUUUGUGAUGUCCCAGAGUCUGGGAUCCACAUCUUCUUCGCCUGCACUGUUGCCCGCUUUCUUUGGAGCUUUGUCCAUGAGGUUUUACAUUAUCAUGUUGUCUCACAUGUGUUACUAUUUAUUUAG
Molecule: ribosomal RNA, 270 nt
Filed under: Triticum aestivum (bread wheat)
Lineage: Eukaryota; Viridiplantae; Streptophyta; Magnoliopsida; Poales; Poaceae
Description: partial small subunit ribosomal RNA
Source: RNAcentral